CGGGGCGUAGUUCAGAUGGCUAGAAUGUACGCUUUGGGAGCGUAAGGUCGCGAGUUCGAGUCUCGCCGCCCCGACCC
Molecule: transfer RNA, 77 nt
Filed under: Candidatus Roizmanbacteria bacterium CG09_land_8_20_14_0_10_41_9
Lineage: Bacteria; Candidatus Roizmaniibacteriota
Description: tRNA-Pro
Rfam family: tRNA
About the family: Transfer RNA (tRNA) molecules are approximately 80 nucleotides in length.
Source: RNAcentral